Molecule: ribosomal RNA, 550 nt
Filed under: uncultured bacterium
Lineage: Bacteria
Description: bacterial SSU rRNA
Rfam family: Bacterial small subunit ribosomal RNA
Source: RNAcentral
GACGAUCAGUAGCCGACCUGAGAGGGUGACCGGCCACAUUGGGACUGAGACACGGCCCAAACUCCUACGGGAGGCAGCAGUGGGGAAUAUUGCACAAUGGGGGGAACCCUGAUGCAGCAACGCCGCGUGAAGGAAGACGGUUUUCGGAUUGUAAACUUCUAUCAAUAGGGAAGAAAGAAAUGACGGUACCUAAAUAAGAAGCCCCGGCUAACUACGUGCCAGCAGCCGCGGUAAUACGUAGGGGGCAAGCGUUAUCCGGAAUUACUGGGUGUAAAGGGAGAGUAGGCGGCAAGGUAAGCGAUAUGUGAAAGCCUUAGGCUUAACCUGAGGAUUGCAUAACGAACUAUCUAGCUAGAGUACAGGAGAGGAAAGCGGAAUUCCUAGUGUAGCGGUGAAAUGCGUAGAUAUUAGGAAGAACACCAGUGGCGAAGGCGGCUUUCUGGACUGAAACUGACGCUGAGGCUCGAAAGCGUGGGGAGCGAACAGGAUUAGAUACCCUGGUAGUCCACGCUGUAAACGAUGAGUGCUAGGUGUCGGGGAGGAAUCCUCG